Molecule: ribosomal RNA, 1595 nt
Filed under: Corynebacterium sanguinis
Lineage: Bacteria; Bacillati; Actinomycetota; Actinomycetes; Mycobacteriales; Corynebacteriaceae
Description: partial 23S ribosomal RNA
Rfam family: Bacterial large subunit ribosomal RNA
Source: RNAcentral
GUGUUUUUUAUCAAGGGCGUACGGUGGAUGCCUUGGCAUGCUGAGCCGAUGAAGGACGUGUGAGGCUGCGUUAUGCCUCGGGGAGUUGCCAACUAAGCGUUGAUCCGAGGAUGUCCGAAUGGGGAAACCCAGCACCAGUUGUGUGGUGUUACCCGCAGGUGAAUUCAUAGCUUGUGUGGGGGUGUACGCGGGGAAGUGAAACAUCUCAGUACCCGCAGGAGAGGAAAAUAAUAAUGAUUCUGCUAGUAGCGGCGAGCGAACGUGGAUGAGGCUAAACCAUGUGCGUGUGAUACCUGGCAGGGGUUGCGUGUGUGGGGUUGUGGGAUGUGAUUGUUACCAGGGCUGUCGACUUGGUGCGUGUGUGUUGUGUGUUAGCGGAAGUCACUUGGGAUGGUGCGCCGUAGUGGGUGAGAGCCCCUGUACGUGAAAACAUGCAAUGUGUGCGUUGAUUGUGUCCCGAGUAGCAGCGGGCUCGUGGAAUCUGCUGUGAAUCUGCCGGGACCACCCGGUAAGCCUAAAUACUCAGUGUGACCGAUAGUGAAUAGUACCGUGAGGGAAUGGUGAAAAGUACCCCGGGAGGGGAGUGAAAUAGUUCCUGAAACCGUGCGCUUACAAUCCGUCAGAGCACCUCGUGUGUGUGAUGGCGUGCCUUUUGAAGAAUGAGCCUGCGAGUCAGCGGCAUGUCGCGAGGUUAACCCGUUGUGUGGGGUAGCCGUAGCGAAAGCGAAUCCUAAUAAGGGUGUUUUAGUGGCAUGUCCUGGACCCGAAGCGGGGUGAUCUACCCAUGGCCAGUGUGAAGCAGCUGUAAGAGGUUGUGGAGGCGCGAACCCACUUAGGUUGAAAACUGAGGGGAUGAGUUGUGGGUAGGGGUGAAAGGCCAAUCAAACUCCGUGAUAGCUGGUUCUCCCCGAAAUGCAUUUAGGUGCAGCGUUGUAGUAACUUGCCGGAGGUAGAGCUACUGGUUGGUUGAGCGGGACUAUCAUCUUAGCAAUGUCAGCCAAACUCCGAAUGCCGGUUUAAGUGUUCUAUGGCAGUGAGACUGUGGGGGAUAAGCUUCAUAGUCGAGAGGGAAACAGCCCAGAUCGCCGGUUAAGGCCCCUAAGGGUGUACUAAGUGGAAAAGGAUGUGGGAUCGCGAAGACAGCCAGGAGGUUGGCUUAGAAGCAGCCAUCCUUGAAAGAGUGCGUAAUAGCUCACUGGUCGAGUGGUUCUGCGCCGACAAUUCAGUGGGGCUCAAGUACACCGCCGAAGCCGCGGCACACUAUUUUUGUGUGGGUAGGGGAGCGUCGUGUAUGGGGUGAAGCAAUACUGUAAGGGGUUGUGGACUGUACACGAGUGAGAAUGCAGGCAUGAGUAACGAGUGAUAAGUGAGAAUCUUAUCCGCCGGAUGACUAAGGGUUCCUGGGUCAAGUUCGUCUUCCCAGGGUGAGUCGGGUCCUAAGGCGAGGCCGACAGGCGUAGUCGAUGGUUAACGGGUUGAUAUUCCCGUACCCGUGUAUAUGCGCCCAAGGGUGAAUCGGUGAUACUAACCACCCUGACCGCACCAUAUGAUGAUCCCUUCGGGGGUUGAUCGGUGGUGUGUGAUGCGUGGGGCCU